RNAcentral lists this microRNA precursor (132 nucleotides) under Gossypium hirsutum (cotton). RNAcentral's name for it is "MIR7502 microRNA precursor family". It matches the Rfam family "MIR7502 microRNA precursor family". Lineage: Eukaryota; Viridiplantae; Streptophyta; Magnoliopsida; Malvales; Malvaceae. The record is from Rfam by way of RNAcentral.
UGUUAAAAAUUUCAUCCAUUUCUACUGUGUAAAAAUUAGUGUGGCUAACAAAAUAAUCAGACGACCACGUGUACCUCAUUAUGACAUACAAAAACUAAUUUUUAAUGAUAGAAAUGGAUUAAAUUUUUAGUA